Molecule: ribosomal RNA, 503 nt
Filed under: uncultured bacterium
Lineage: Bacteria
Description: bacterial SSU rRNA
Rfam family: Bacterial small subunit ribosomal RNA
Source: RNAcentral
AGAGUUUGAUCCUGGCUCAGAUUGAACGCUGGCGGCAUGCGUAACACAUGCAAGUCGAACGGUGUUGGUGCUUGCACCAGACAUAGUGGCGGACGGGUGAGUAAUGCGUAGGAAUCUGUCUUAGAGAGGGGGACAACCCGAGGAAACUUGGGCUAAAACCGCAUAUUCUCGAGAGAGGAAAGCAGGGGACCGGAAACGGCCUUGUGCUCUAAGGUGAGCCUACGUCGGAUUAGCUAGUUGGUAGGGUAAAAGCCUACCAAGGCGAUGAUCUGUAGCUGGUCUGAGAGGACGGACAGCCACACUGGGACUGAGACACGGCCCAGACUCCUACGGGAGGCAGCAGUGGGGAAUAUUGGACAAUGGGGGGAACCCUGAUCCAGCGAUGCCGCGUGUGUGAAGAAGGCCUGCGGGUUGUAAAGCACUUUCAGUGGGAAAGAGAAGCGUCUUGUGAAUAAUGGGACGUGGAGACGUUACUCACAGAAGAAGCACCGGCUAACUCUGUG